AAAGAUGGAUAAUUCAAUAAAUGGAGAAAGAAAACAACAACCAAUGAAAAAUAGGCAAUAAGAUAAAAUGCUUAAUCAUGUGUCAAAGAACUGUGGCUGGAAGUCACACACUCCUGAUUCCACUUCUGAACACAUGGAGCCCGCAUUUGGAGUUCAUUAUGAACAUGGGCAAAGAGGCAGCAACAGGAUUCAGAAGAAUAGCCUAACAGAAAAUAGAAACCUAGAGAAAGAUCAGUAAUUCCAUCACCCAUCAUUCCACUUACAGACAACCCUAUAUGUUCUUGUUAAGUGUCUACAGAGGAAAUACUGAAAAUCCUGAUGUAAGGCUCAGGCAAGCUGAGCAGAGGCUGAUUCGUUAGGGAAAUAGCGGCUCCACAUUCCUAAAUGCCAAGGGUGUGUGUGGGAGGUGGAUUGUGGUAUCGCAGGGAGAAGAAACGCCGAAUGCUUGAAGAGAACGUCAGGUGUGUGCGAGAGUGAGCCUCUACUAGACUCAGUUCAAUCAACUAUCUGCGUCAGAAGCACAGGACCCCUCUCCAGCCUGCACGAGGCAGAAUUUCUGGGGGUGGGGCUGGGAAUCUAUACAUUUUCUAAGCGUCCUAAGUCAUUCUUGUGCUCACCAAAGUUUGAGAACCACUGCUAUAGCAGCUCCUGCCCAGAGCUGUCCCUGCCAGACAGAAGAUGCUUCAUAGCUAUUCCGUCUGUACCUGCCCUCGAAUCUUGGGGCGCCCAUGGAUACCCUUCUUCCAAGGAAAGGGGAGGACCUGGAGGAACAUGACUGUGAAGUCAUGAUGCUCUCUAUGAUCUCACUCUUGUCAACCCGGUUCUGAGCCUUGCUUUCUUCUGCAGUCUGGAGAACCCCAAACCUGGUCGUCAGGACUCCUUUGUUCUCGAGUGUGAGGAUGACACAUGUCUGGACCAUAGGGAAAUGGCCAUGAAAGGGUGAAGCUCUGGGGUCAGACAGUGUUCUUUUAACACAGAAAGGGAAGGAGUUACCAGAAGGGAAGAGACAAGCUUGGGUCUGCAGUGAGAAAUGGUGAAGGCCCAAACGAAGUUCUGAUCAAAGAUUAGGCCUCUCAUCUUUGGUGGGAACAGAAGCAGCAGGGACCUCUCCGACAUUGCUGGUGAAAUGGUGUUACAGGCUCUUAAGAAGGUCAUCGGGCAACAUCUUUUGAUGAAAGUACGCAUAUCCUUUAAGCCACAAUCCCCCUCUUAGGAGUCUAUCCCAUAGAAGCAAAAGCACCUACGUUCAUAUGCACCUUUAUAAAACGAUGUGCACCAUCUGGAGGCAAAAGCUUGGAAACCAGGUUGUCUUUCACGGUCAUCUGAACGAGAUCUGACUUCCAUCAGCAAGCGUUUGAGGAACAGUGGCGGGGAAGAGGAGGCUGGGACAGACCUGCAAAGCUCCGUGUUUCUGUUGAUAUGGAAAGAAAGAUCCAGCGGCCCGUCAUGUUCUGACAGGAUGUCUUCAUUUAUUUACGUUGUUCUGAAUACAGGAGCUAAUGCAAUUAGCCAGGAAACAGAUCACUGACAAGCUGUCAGUGGCUGGGCACCUGUCCAGCGACUGCCCAGCUCCAACCUCGUCACCGACAGACUGGCUACCCCUCGAACUGAAGAUUCUUCACGCCAUGUGGUUGAUGUAACAAGACAGUUUUAUAUUUUAAUAGCACUUAGCCUUUUAAAGUACUCAGAUAUUUUCCCUCACGUGACUCUCCUAUAACAUUACUCUGAGGUAAUUGGGGCAGUUUUUAAACAAACCCCAUUUGUCAGGCAAGAAAUGCAGAUCCUUGCAGAGACAUUUGGUGACGUGCUCAAGGUCAGUGGUUAGUGACCACACUGGAACUCACCUGAGGUGUUCCCGUUCAUGAUGUGGGAUCUUCCCACUCCUCAGCUGAGCCACAUACGUGGCGAUGAACUCGCUACUGAUCUACUGUAUGAGUCUAAUCGCACGGCUCUGGCCAAUAAAUCAUUUUAAGCGCUAAUACCGCAAAAGUCCCUUUCUACCUUUCUUUGCUCCAUAUCCUCAAAGAGAAAGUCCACCAAAUUACCCAGAGCCCCUGGACUAAUGACUUUGUUCUUACACUGUAUCAUUGUGUUAGGAGAACAAUUUCAAAUGAUCCACAGUUCUCAAAAAUAAUAGCAAAUAUCAAACUGCAGCCAUGUCACUAAAAACGCUUUACGAAGAGAAGUCUAGCAAAUUAUUUAGGCUACGUGGCCAUAACCGAGGUGGCUUUGCUCCCCUCCUAGCUGUUUUCCCAAACUGCAAGCACAUUGUGUAAGAGCAAAUGAGUGGCCUCUCUCCCAUGCCAAGAUUGCAAAUUAAACUACAAAGAGAUCUCAGAAAGUUCUAACAAAAUCUCUGCUCGUUAUUCAGAAGGCGAUGCUGUCCCUCGCCUUCUGCGGGAGGGGCCAGCAGUGGUGUUUGCUGUGGGUGAUAGCAAAGAUAAGUGCUCAGGUCCCCUCAGGCUUCAGGCAGUUCAGUGCAGUUUCAAAGAGCCGCCGAGAAGCAGAUGACCAGCCCAGGAAGGCAGCGCUGUGCGGCGGAAAGGGCUGGUUCCUGAGUCAGAGGGUCCUGAACCCCAGCCCUGCCACUCCUGCAGAGGGCUUGACCUCGCUGGGCCUAACAGAACUGUGACUAUUAAACAAAGAUACCUGUAAAAUGGCUUAGCACGUAAGUGCUGGAAAAUAUGUAUG
This is a long non-coding RNA of Equus caballus (horse), 2691 nucleotides long. RefSeq lists it as uncharacterized. The record is from RefSeq and is a predicted model, not a curated record. NCBI's taxonomy places the organism in Eukaryota, Metazoa, Chordata, Mammalia, Perissodactyla, Equidae.